CCCUAUACCCGUUAAGGCAUGACGGCCUGUACCCGAAACCGACACAGGUGGGGUGGUAGAGAAUACCGAGGGGCGCGAGAUAACGCUCUCUAAGGAACUCGGCAAAAUGGCCCCGUAACUUCGGGAGAAGGGGUGACACCGCAAGGUGGUCGCAGUGAAGAGGCCCAGGCGACUGUUUACCAAAAACACAGGUCUCCGCUAAGUCGCAAGACGAUGUAUGGGGGCUGACGCCUGCCCAGUGCCGGAAGGUUAAGGAAGCAGGUCAGCGCAAGCGAAGCUAGCGACUGAAGCCCCGGUGAACGGCGGCCGUAACUAUAACGGUCCUAAGGUAGCGAAAUUCCUUGUCGGGUAAGUUCCGACCCGCACGAAAGGCGUAACGAUCUGGGCGCUGUCUCGGAGAGAGGCUCGGCGUAAUAGAAUUGUCUGUGAAGAUGCGGACUACGUGCACCCGGACAGAAAGACCCUAUGAAGCUUUACUGUAGCUUGGUAAUGUGCCCGGGCUCUGAAUGCGCAGGAUAGGUGGGAGGCUUUGAUCCAUGGCUUGCGGGUCAUGGUGAGCCAACGGUGAGAUACCACUCUUUCAGAGCUAGGGUUCUAACCUUCACCCGUUAUCCGGGGAGGGGACAGUAUCAGGUGGGCAGUUUGACUGGGGCGGUCGCCUCCUAAAAGGUAACGGAGGCGCGCAAAGGUUUGCUCAGGCUGGUUGGAAAUCAGCCGACGAGUGUAAAAGCAGAAGCAAGCUUGACUGUGAGACCAACAAGUCGAACAGGGACGAAAGUCGGCUUUAGUGAUCCGACGGUUCUGAGUGGAAGGGCCGUCGCUCAACGGAUAAAAGUUACUCUAAGGAUAACAGGCUGAUCUCCCCCAAGAGUUCACAUCGACGGGGAGGUUUGGCACCUCGAUGUCGGCUCAUCGCAACCUGGGGCUGAAGUCGGUCCCAAGGGUUGGGCUGUUCGCCCAUUAAAGCGGUACGCGAGCUGGGUUCAGAACGUCGUGAGACAGUUCGGUCCAUAUCCGGUGCAUGCGUAAGAACAUUGAGAGGAGUUCUCCCUAGUACGAGAGGACCGGGAGGAACGCACCUCUGGUGUACCAGUUAUCGUGCCAACGGUAAACGCUGGGUAGCCAUGUGCGGAGAGGAUAACCGCUGAAAGCAUCUAAGUGGGAAGCCCACCUCAAGAUGAGUGUUCUCAUGGCUUAAGCCAGUAAGGUCACGGGAAGAACACCCGUUGAUAGGCUCUACGUGGAAGCGCAGCAAUGUGUGAAGCGGAGGAGUACUAAUAGACC
This 1284-nucleotide ribosomal RNA is filed under the name metagenome. Its description in RNAcentral is "bacterial LSU rRNA". It matches the Rfam family "Bacterial large subunit ribosomal RNA", at positions 1617 to 2910 of the family's 2925-position model. The record is from RNAcentral.